UUGGAACUAUUCUGUUAAGUUAUACUUAGAAGCCCUUGAAGAUGUUGCGAGCUUGAUUGAGGAACUUGACAAUGAUCAACAAGCAUAAGAUUCUAUCGGAAGAAUCGCGGCGACGACAUUCUCGUGUCGAUUGUUUCGCAUAAUAAAUACAAUAAGCUCCAACAA
Non-coding RNA from Ciona intestinalis (vase tunicate), 165 nucleotides. The record is from RefSeq and is a predicted model, not a curated record. NCBI's taxonomy places the organism in Eukaryota, Metazoa, Chordata, Ascidiacea, Phlebobranchia, Cionidae.